Molecule: transfer RNA, 73 nt
Filed under: Ixodes scapularis (black-legged tick)
Lineage: Eukaryota; Metazoa; Arthropoda; Arachnida; Ixodida; Ixodidae
Rfam family: tRNA
About the family: Transfer RNA (tRNA) molecules are approximately 80 nucleotides in length. Their secondary structure includes four short double-helical elements and three loops (D, anti-codon, and T loops).
Source: Rfam by way of RNAcentral
CCCUGGUUAGCUCAGUUGGCAGAGUGCUCCACCUGUAAUGGAGAGGUCCCGGGUUCGAUACCCGGACCAGGCG